Molecule: ribosomal RNA, 818 nt
Filed under: Streptomyces sp.
Lineage: Bacteria; Bacillati; Actinomycetota; Actinomycetes; Kitasatosporales; Streptomycetaceae
Description: bacterial SSU rRNA
Rfam family: Bacterial small subunit ribosomal RNA
Source: RNAcentral
GGAUUAGUGGCGACGGGUGAGUAACACGUGGGCAAUCUGCCCUUCACUCUGGGACAAGCCCUGGAAACGGGGUCUAAUACCGGAUAACACUCUGUCCCGCAUGGGACGGGGUUAAAAGCUCCGGCGGUGAAGGAUGAGCCCGCGGCCUAUCAGCUUGUUGGUGGGGUAAUGGCCUACCAAGGCGACGACGGGUAGCCGGCCUGAGAGGGCGACCGGCCACACUGGGACUGAGACACGGCCCAGACUCCUACGGGAGGCAGCAGUGGGGAAUAUUGCACAAUGGGCGAAAGCCUGAUGCAGCGACGCCGCGUGAGGGAUGACGGCCUUCGGGUUGUAAACCUCUUUCAGCAGGGAAGAAGCGAAAGUGACGGUACCUGCAGAAGAAGCGCCGGCUAACUACGUGCCAGCAGCCGCGGUAAUACGUAGGGCGCAAGCGUUGUCCGGAAUUAUUGGGCGUAAAGAGCUCGUAGGCGGCUUGUCACGUCGGAUGUGAAAGCCCGGGGCUUAACCCCGGGUCUGCAUUCGAUACGGGCUAGCUAGAGUGUGGUAGGGGAGAUCGGAAUUCCUGGUGUAGCGGUGAAAUGCGCAGAUAUCAGGAGGAACACCGGUGGCGAAGGCGGAUCUCUGGGCCAUUACUGACGCUGAGGAGCGAAAGCGUGGGGAGCGAACAGGAUUAGAUACCCUGGUAGUCCACGCCGUAAACGUUGGGAACUAGGUGUUGGCGACAUUCCACGUCGUCGUGCCGCAGCUAACGCAUUAAGUUCCCCGCCUGGGGAGUACGGCCGCAAGGCUAAACUCAAAGGAAUUGACGGGGGCCG